UCUGUCAUCUUUCUAGGAAGUUAGCAACUGGUACCAUGUCAGCAGUCAAGAGGUGACUUAUUCAAGGACUUGAAUGGGGCAUGGAAUAGGGCUUAGAUAAUUAGCUGAAAGUUCCAUAACAGAUAAUAAAAGACAGUGAUUGGUCUUAGUAGUGAGGCCCAUCUUAGAAACCUUUCUUUUUUUCUUCUUUAGAAAUAUUCCAGUGAUAAGAUUGAAGAACGGGCCGAUAGAGGAUUGUCUAUGGAGAAUGCUUGCCGCCAUUUUAGGAAGACAAACUCCAAGAAAGUUCAGCACGCUGCACUUCAAAAAUACUUUCAGAAAGAAACCAAAUGGAUGCUCAAAUGAUGGGAAAGGUGGAAAGAAAGAGAAGAGGGGCACCAGCAGCAAGUCGGAUGGUCUCAGUGGUGAUGGACUAUCAUGGAGAAAAUCUUUCUAUGUGAUAACCAGCAGUUGAAAGUGAUUGAUGGCUUAAUGGAUAACCCAUCCAUCGAUUAUUUCUGUAAAUGAACUAAUAAUUAUGUCACUAAUAAGCACUAAUAAUGUUCUCAUACAUAUGCUUUUUAUCAAGGCACUUGCAACACAUCGUCUUAGCCCAUUUUCAGGUUGGGCAGAAUAUGUGUUUAUUCUGCUGUAAAAGUAUAAAUAAAAAUGUAACUUCUCAAUGGCUGUAUCAAGAUGCAAUACGCAUAUAUAUGUAAACACACACACACACAUUUUAUUCUGCCUUUUUUACAAAUAACUCAAGGUGGCAAACACAUCUAACAUACUUUAAUAUUUCCACUCACAACAACUGUGUGCGGUGAGUUGGCCUGAAAGAGAGAUUUCUGUGCUUCUGUAUAUGAAUGUUUAUGUAAAAAUAAAAAUUUGGUCUCACUGAAGCAACAAGGAAGAAUAUUUGAUGUUUGUUUGGUUUUUAUUGCCACCCAUCUAAACUAAGGACUAUGGGUGGGAUAUAUCAUAAAAAAGAGUUAAAAACAAUUAAAACAACCUAGGCUAACUCAAAUUAAAUUACACUAGAUUCCCAAAGUUGCUAGACUAUUAUAUUACAUAUUAGAAUAGUAAUAUGUAUAUUACGAUUAUAUAUUGUAUAAGUGUGCUACACUAUUAUAUAGUGAUCUGUUCUGCACAAAAACCUAAGUCAUAAACCAUGGUUUACAAAUAACAACGGCUGUUUAUCAAGCCAAAACCAUAUAAUUCUUAUUAUGGUUUAUUAUGUAAAGCCAAUGUGAAUACGAACCCAAAUCAUGGCUUGCACUAAUAAAACCAUACAAACCAUUACUAAAAAUGAGAUAUUUUUCUUUUGGUGAAAAGACAUAUUCUUCCAAUGACAAUUUAAUGGUGAAGCCCACAGUAGGAAGAAGUCAUAUGGAGCCCCUUAAACAUAGUUACAUUAUGUUAAUUAAAAGAUUAAAAACAAAUUUCAGACUACCAGUGAAUGACAAUAUUGUAAAUAAUCUUUCUUGUACCAUUUUUUUUUAGCCAAUAUGCUUUUUACAAAGAACUACUGCUUUGCAACAAAAUAAAAUGUUCCAAGUGAGGAAAAAAACUGGACGUUUCCAGCAUAUAUUCUGUCAUAAGGUGCAACAGACUGUUUAAUAAUGAAGAUUUUAGUUGCUGUGUCCUGUUUUAAUUAUUGUAUUGCCACAAUAGAAUAGUUCUGUUUCAAUGAACUGAAUUCCUGGAUGAUUGGAGAAAAUUCUACUACAAAAGAUAUAUAAAUAUAUCACUACUACUUAUACUUUUAAUUGCUCAAUAUUACUAAAAGUAAUAUAAAAUUCUUAGGAAGAAACAAAAUGAACUAAUUUGCCUUUACUAUAACUACAUGUUGGAAUCUGGGGCAUCGUAUUGGUCUAGUGUCUGACUGGGUCUGGAACACAUUAGUAAGCCAAACUUCUAAAAUAUGCUUCAUUAAAACGUUAGACAUACUACUCUUUAUCUUAGGCUACUCCAGGCUACCAAGGCAUGACAAAUGUUAACAAGAGAUGCCCCCAAUCUAAGCUAUACCUUGAAAAAUAAAAUUACUGAUAGUUGAAAUUAGUGUCAGGUAAAACCUUUCAAAAUUUCAGUGUUCUGAUGUAUAAGAUUUCAGCAACUGCACAAACAUUUCAAAGAGCUCAUGGAAGAUUGCCAACAUUGUGUGACAUUUCUACAGGUUUGAUAGAGAAUGACAAUUUUAAAAUACCGCAGAAGGAUAGCUGCAAGAUAUUGAAGAAAGAGUAAGAAAAAUAUCAAUGGAGUCCCAAGGAAAAAUUAUAUGGCAAGUUACUGGAAGACAUAAAGACCUUAAUUAAGGAGGCACUGUUGAUGGAUAGUUUCCGUAUACAGGAGGUUAAAAAAAAAACUUGCUCUAAGAAGGAUUAAAAGGAGCAGAACACUUGAAUUCAUCUUUGUCAUUAAAAAAGACCUGCAGUUGUAAAUCAUGCCUGUUUUCAGUUCUGAGUGGUUUCUCAACUAGAGCACUUUAGCUAGCCCUUGAUUUACAAUAGUUCAUUUAGUGACCGUUCGAAGUUACAACAGCACUGAAAAAAGUGACAUGACCAUUUUUCACACUUAUGACCGUUGCAGCAUUCCCAUGGUCACACGAUCAAAAUUCGGAUGCUUGGCAACUGACUCACAUUUGUGAUGGUUGCAAUGUCCCAGGGUCAUGUAAUCACCUUUUGCAAUCUUCUGACAAAGUCAAUGGAGAAACCAGAUUCAUUUAACAACUGUGUUAUUAAUUUACCAACUACAGUGAUUCACUUAACAAACAUGGCAAAAAAGUCAUAAAAUAGAGUAAAAUUCACUUAACAAAUUUCUCACUUAGCAACAUAAAUUUUGGGCUCAAUUGUGGUCGUAAAUCUACCUGUAGAUGAAGAUAAUCUGACCACACUGAUCCAUAGUUUGUUUGGAUUAUCACACUGAUUUCUAUAUCCUCUUGAAGAUAGUUUGAGGUCACCUACCUUGUUACAGAAUGCUAAUAUUUAUUUAGCUUUGUGCUCAGUAAACAAACUUUGCUAAGGCUUGUGCAAAUCAUCUGAGGAGCAAAAUGACCCAUUGGAUCUAUUCCUCAUGCUCCAACCAUUCAAAGUGCCAGAAUGGCUGUUAUGAAAUCUUUCAAGGUCCUCCGGGCAUGCUUGUAUAAAGCUUUGCCACCAAUCCUGGCAGAAGUACACUCUGGGCAUUCACACUCGACCCAAAGGCUGCAGGAAAGCUUCAAAAGAGCCACUUUGAUUCUUUAAAAAGUUGGAUUCUUUGCAGUUUUCAGGAACAGAUCAAAAGAGGAGCAUCAGCUGCAGAAGUUAAAUGAACUUGCAGAGGCCUAUAAUACAGCACAAUUUUAAAUUUUCUGCCUUAUUUUUGUUUUAUUAUUCAGUGACUGCAUAGACAGCAAUAUGUACCUCCAGUAAAAAGAAUGCCCUUUUUGUUCAAAGUGAAUGCACAAAUAUUCCUAUCUAAACUGACAUCGGCUGCAAUGCACUGCAAGAGUACAACAUAAUAGCUAGAGAUGAUGGGUCUUGUGGUCUACCAUGUUUGAUGAAAGCUAAGUUUAAAAGGUUAGCUCAGAAUAUGCCCAUAGUUUUCUAACUGGCAUUUGAAUAGAGACUGUAUUCAAUAUGAUUUCCCAAGGGAGCCCUUGAGAUUUCAGGAAAUGUUGGCUUCCUGGGAUUUAGCAAAACUGCAGCAUUUGCUAUUUUCAGACUGUCCCCCAAUUUCCUUACAGUUUAAAUAAAUGUUUCCUCACAAUCGUUCGUGUCUAAAAAGGCAAUUUGAAAAACAAGGUUAGAGUACUGCAAUCAAGUGAGAUUUAUUGUUAGAUUGCUCUAACUAAAUCUCUACUUGUUCACCAAACACUGCAUUUUGAGGUAGGCUUUCUUAUAGUGGUAUAAGCCCAUUAAAAUAUAAAAGCAAGAAUCUGAUGCUGUCAGAAAACAAAUUUAUCCUUUUUAUAUAUGGCUAAUUAGAGGGGGAGGGAGAACAAAUUUACUAUAAUCUUUUAAUAUCUUUAUAGGGACCCGGUGGCUCAAUGGCUAAGACACUGAGCUUGUCGAUUGAAAGGUUGGCAGUUUAGCGGUUCGAAUCCCUAGUGCCGCAUAAUGGGGUGAGCUCCCAUUAUUUGUCCCAACUUCUGCCAACCUAGCAGUUCGAAAGCACGUAAAAAAUGCAAGUAGAAAAAUAGGGACCACCUUUGGUGGGAAGGUAACAGUGCUCUGUGCGCCUUUGGUGUUUAGUCAUGUGGGCCAAAUGACCACGGAGACGACUUUGGACAACGCUGGCUCUUUGGCUUUGAAAUGGAGAUGAGCACCGCCCCCUAGAGUUGGGAAUGACUAGCACGUAUGUGCGAGGGGAACCUUUACCUUUAGUUUAAUAUCUUUGCUAUAAACAACAUUCUAACUGAUUAUGCUAAUCUUCUGAGCUAUUUAGUCAGUAGAGUAUUCCAAUACUUAUUUAAAUAUUUAUGAAUGUGUUUUCCACUUCACAGUUAAUCUCAAAAAGAGCUGCCAAUUGGCAGGAGGAAAAAGAGAGAAAGCACCCAAUACAAAAGAAAACAAAUAGGUGGACUAUCUCAAGUGCCAAGAGAAUAUAAUUUAUUAUAAACACACAAAGUUUUUUAUGUUUAAUUCCUUUGAGGCAUGCUCUUAUUACAUGGAAAAUAGCUUAUUGUUGAACUUAAUCCAAAGUAUCUGAAACUUUUAAAGUCCCUACUUAUCUUUUUGGACUUUAUUUCUAACCCUACACCCAUGAUGUGCAAGUGUACACAAAUCCUCUCACAAUGCCAUGCAACCUACAGUUGCAUCAAAAACAUGCUUCAAGCAAAAUGAUACUGAAAAUUAUAUACAUAUUCAUCCUUCCCUUAUUCCCAGUAAAAUCUGAGGAGACUGGAAACAAUCAGUUCCUUCACCUUCAGCCAGUCAUUGCUUGCAGCAUUUUUGACAAUGCUACUCUUUUAGAUUACAGGAUACAAGAGGAUUCCCUAGCCACCAUUCACUGAGAAAUAUUUCUUAGCCAAUUUUACUGCCCAACUCAAACAUAAUAGGAUAAUAUAGAUAGUCCUUGACUUAUAAGCACAAUUGAACCCCAAAUAUCUGUUGUUAAGUGAGACAGUUGUUAAGUGAGUUUUGCCCCAUUUUACAA
Molecule: long non-coding RNA, 5112 nt
Organism: Ahaetulla prasina
Lineage: Eukaryota; Metazoa; Chordata; Lepidosauria; Squamata; Colubridae
Exons: 3
Source: RefSeq, a predicted model, not a curated record